This 1229-nucleotide long non-coding RNA is filed under the name Vitis vinifera (wine grape). RNAcentral's name for it is "long non-coding RNA (VVIN_LNC004077)". Lineage: Eukaryota; Viridiplantae; Streptophyta; Magnoliopsida; Vitales; Vitaceae. The record is from RNAcentral.
UGGGCUUGUGUGUGUUGGUGUUGGUGUUGGCGUUGGUGUUUGUGAGUGUACUGAGCAACACGCACAUGUGUUGCUGCAUCAAGAACCCACCUUCUCAUCAUCAUCAUCAGCAUCACCAUCUCUCUCUCCUCUCUCUCUCUCUCUCUCUCUCAAACACAUACUCUCUAUAAUCUAUUACGUGCGUGAAAGUGUAGUAGUAGUGUGCAGUCCGAGGCAUGGAGGGGGGAAGGGGUUAAUUAGAUGGAUAGGAGUGGUGUGGGAGGUGGUGCAGUGAUGAGAAGAGAAGGGUACUUGAUGCGCAGGAGCAGGAGCGGAAGCAGAAGAAGCAGAAGGUGAGGGAGGGAGGGAGGGAGGGUUGGAGUAGAAUCUAACCGGGAGACGCUUGAAAACAAACAACAUAAGGGCACAACCCCAACUCCAAAACACCCUUUCUGACACAAGGAUUCCCACACUUGUUCCUUCCAACACUCUACACGAUAAAACUUUUUCCCGUUUUUAAUUACAUCUUCCCCUUUCCUUAUCCCCUCCAUUUUUUCCAUUUACCAUUUUCUGCAUCUAUGGAAACCAAUUAAUUUUUCUUUUUUUAUUUUUGCCACUUUGCAGCCUUUUCUAUCAUACCAACCCAACCCUCCUCAAUCUCUCUCUCUUUCUCGUUCAUUACAUUAUUUCCAUAAAUAAUAUUUGUUACUGUUCCAAGUGGGCAAAUGGUUGAUCUCCCCAUUUCAUUUGAAUAUUCAUCUUCUUCCCACACAUUGCUUUCUUUGUUUUUUUUUUUUUCUUUAUUUUUCCCAAUGCAAGGUAGUUCACAUCAUCAACACCAUAUAGAUAUUAACCUUUGUGUUGGUUUUAUGCACUCAAGAAGUAUGUAGAUGGACCAUUUGUCCCACCAUGACCCCAUCACAUUGUCUGGCUUAUUUCUAACUCUUCAAAUUUAAAUAUUUCAGGUAGCAGUAGUGGCAGUGGAUGGGGUUGAGUUUGGGUUCACCAGAGCAUCAGUCCAAAACGGGCGAUGAUUUCUGACCUUAGAAUCCGGACCACAAAAUCUUCUUCAAUUCAUGAAGACAUUAUACUGCAGCUAUUGCACUCUGGAAAAAUUUCUAACUUCAUGCUUUAUGGUUAUACCCUUUAACAAAUUUCAAUCAUUUCCAUCUUACCAUACGAAGUGACCACAAAUAUGUAUACACCCAGUAAUGAUCCAUGAUCCCUUUUUUCUCCUUUGUCAAGAUAUC